Molecule: ribosomal RNA, 559 nt
Filed under: uncultured bacterium
Lineage: Bacteria
Description: partial 16S ribosomal RNA
Rfam family: Bacterial small subunit ribosomal RNA
Source: RNAcentral
UAAGGAAUAUUGGACAAUGGACGCAAGUCUGAUCCAGCCAUGCCGCGUGAAGGAUGACUGCCCUCUGGGUUGUAAACUUCUUUUAUAGGGGAAGAAAGUUAUUUUUUAGGAUAUUUGACGGUACCCUAUGAAUAAGCACCGGCUAACUCCGUGCCAGCAGCCGCGGUAAUACGGAGGGUGCAAGCGUUAUCCGGAUUCACUGGGUUUAAAGGGUGCGUAGGCGGGUAUGUAAGUCAGUGGUGAAAUACCGGAGCUUAACUUCGGAACUGCCAUUGAUACUAUAUAUCUUGAAUAUUGUGGAGGUAAGCGGAAUAUGUCAUGUAGCGGUGAAAUGCUUAGAGAUGACAUAGAACACCGAUUGCGAAGGCAGCUUGCUACGCAAAUAUUGACGCUGAGGCACGAAAGCGUGGGGAUCAAACAGGAUUAGAUACCCUGGUAGUCCACGCCCUAAACGAUGAUUACUCGACAUUAGCGAUACACAGUUAGUGUCUGAGCGAAAGCAUUAAGUAAUCCACCUGGGAAGUACGACCGCAAGGUUGAAACUCAAAGGAAUUGACGG